UUAAGGAUUUUUGCUUGUCAUGUUUUGGAAUUUUGUCAGAUUUUCGAAAUCCUCUGGUUUUAUCCAUUUGAAUGCCUUAAAAAAAAUUGCCCACGGACCCCCAAUUUUCUUUUUAUAAAUCUUUCACAUGCAUAAUUAUAAGCCAUUUGUUAAAGUCUUAUACAAUCUUAUUUAUUUUUUAAUAGUUUUUGAGAACUUUAACUGGUCAAUGAUAAAGCUAUGAAAAAUCAAGCGGGAACAUUUUCCCGCCAAAAUUCCAAUGGCUAAUAUCUCGAAAACAAGCACAUUGACCCUAUAUUUUUUUUGCUUUUUUGAUUCCUCAAUUAAUCCCCUAUCAAUAUAUACUAGUUUUAUGGAAAGUUAUUUAUUUUGAAACUGAGCAGCAAACAUCCUUAAG
Molecule: long non-coding RNA, 397 nt
Filed under: Mytilus galloprovincialis (Mediterranean mussel)
Lineage: Eukaryota; Metazoa; Mollusca; Bivalvia; Mytilida; Mytilidae
Source: RNAcentral